AACAUCUUCACUGGUGUUGCAUAAGAACCCCAGGUGAGCAUAACUAAGAGGAGACCAACUUUACCAUGCAUUCAGCAGCAGCACCCACAGACCUGAGGACUAGCUGACAGGGCAAAUCCUGUAUUCCUGGUUGGAGGAGCCAGGAGAGGCCAUAGCCCAAAAUUGUCUGUGUUGCAUCCCUCUCCUCCCCUGGCUUGCCCCUCCUCCCAACCAUGCCUUCUCCCACAGAUAUAGGAGCUUUCCCUCACCCCUAGCAUACUCCAGACAUGUUUUGCACCACACGCCCAAGUAAGAAUGAUACAAUUUGAUUUGCUUCGCCUCGCCUCAACAAUUCAAUGUAUGGAUGCCAGGGGGUGACAUUGAAUUGCAUAUCUGAUACUCUGAAUAAACCCACUGAAAUAAAUGAACCUGUUAGUCAUGCCUAUUAAUUUCUUUCUUUCUUUUUUCAUGUUCAAGCGUGCUCUUUCCCCACCACAUUUAUAUAUAUGUGUGUGUGUUUGUGUCUGUGUUUGUGUUUUAACAUAUCAUUUUCAACAAUUAUUAAACAUACUUUUAUAUCUUGUUCAAUUUUUUUGACUUCAAUCAAUCACAUCUGAAAAUUUUCAAAUCUUUUCACUUAAUUUACAUUUCUUACUUUCACUAUUACAUUUAAAUAUCAUAACUAAUGUCUCUCUUCUUUCUCUUCUUUGCAAUAUUUCAUAUAUUUCUCCUUACAAAACUUCUUGUAGUCCUACUAGCGUAAUUUGUUGAUUACAGUUGCUCUUCAAAUAGUUUGUAUAUUUCUUGUCAUGCCUAUUAAUUUCAGGGGGGCCACUGACUUUUUAAAACAACAACAACAACAAAUUCCUCCUGUUAGUGCGCUUAUCGGAAGGGGGAGAAAGUUAAACUCUCAGCAUUUUACUUAACGAACUUCGUUUUUCUUACAUUGCCAAUUUCCCAGGCAUACAAAGGGAAAUUGGGGUGAGCAAUUUGUUUAGUUUCUCAAAGUGAGCAAUUUGCUUAGUUUCUUAAAGUGAAUGGUGUGGUUAUUUUCUGAAUCAAAGGGCAAGCUGCAGCCUCAGAUUCUCUUUUUUUGGAAUUUUAGAAAUAGUCACUUUCCGGCAGAAAUAUUGGAGCAGGACAUCUGCAUGACCAAAAUCUGCAAUUCUCAAUCUGAAACCCGACUUUCCGAUAUUUGAGAGGUUCCACGAUACAUGUCCUCAGCCGCCUCUGCAGCGUGAGAGUGAGCUGGCUGCCAAAUCCAUUGCUUAAUAACUCUCCUUGAAAUUUAAGCAGAAUGAGGGUCAAACUGUUGCGAAAAGGUCACUACGGAAAGAAGAUGGAAGCAGCAGUUAAACACACACAGAGUAAGAUUUAUUUUCCCCAGCAUCUUAUAGGGUACCCCCCC
This is a non-coding RNA of Podarcis lilfordi (Lilford's wall lizard), 1387 nucleotides long. NCBI's taxonomy places the organism in Eukaryota, Metazoa, Chordata, Lepidosauria, Squamata, Lacertidae. The record is from the annotation of a GenBank genome assembly.